Molecule: ribosomal RNA, 432 nt
Filed under: uncultured bacterium
Lineage: Bacteria
Description: partial 16S ribosomal RNA
Rfam family: Bacterial small subunit ribosomal RNA
Source: RNAcentral
AACGAACGCUGGCGGCAUGCCUAACACAUGCAAGUCGAACGAGACCUUCGGGUCUAGUGGCGCACGGGUGCGUAACGCGUGGGAACCUGCCCUUAGGUUCGGAAUAACUCCCCGAAAGGGGGCUAAUACCGGAUAAUGUCUUCGGACCAAAGAUUUAUCGCCUUUGGAUGGGCCCGCGUUGGAUUAGCUAGUUGGUAGGGUAAAAGCCUACCAAGGCGACGAUCCAUAGCUGGUCUGAGAGGAUGAUCAGCCACACUGGGACUGCGACACGGCCCAGACUCCUACGGGAGGCAGCAGUGGGGAAUAUUGGACAAUGGGCGAAAGCCUGAUCCAGCAAUGCCGCGUGAGUGAUGAAGGCCUUAGGGUUGUAAAGCUCUUUUACCCGGGAUGAUAAUGACAGUACCGGGAGAAUAAGCGCCGGCUAACUCCGUG